AGGACGAACGCUGGCGGCGUGCUUAACACAUGCAAGUCGAGCGGAAAGGCCCUUUCGGGGGUACUCGAGCGGCGAACGGGUGAGUAACACGUGAGUAACCUGCCUCUGGCUUUGGGAUAACCCUCGGAAACGGGGCUAAUACCGAAUAUUCAUUCUCGCAGGCAUCUGUGGGUUGGAAAGUUUUUCGGCCAGGGAUGGGCUCGCGGCCUAUCAGCUUGUUGGUGGGUAAUGGCCUACCAAGGCUUCGACGGGUA
RNAcentral lists this ribosomal RNA (254 nucleotides) under uncultured soil bacterium. Its description in RNAcentral is "partial 16S ribosomal RNA". It matches the Rfam family "Bacterial small subunit ribosomal RNA", at positions 26 to 285 of the family's 1533-position model. The record is from RNAcentral.